GACGAACGCUGGCGGCGUGCUUAACACAUGCAAGUCGAACGGAAAGGCCCUGCUUUUGUGGGGUGCUCGAGUGGCGAACGGGUGAGUAACACGUGAGUAACCUGCCCUUGACUUUGGGAUAACUUCAGGAAACUGGGGCUAAUACCGGAUAGGAGCCCCUGCUGCAUGGUGGGGGUUGGAAAGUUUCGGCGGGUGGGGAUGGACUCGCGGCUUAUCAGCUUGUUGGUGGGGUAGUGGCUUACCAAGGCUUUGACGGGUAGCCGGCAUGAGAGGGUGACCGGCCACAUUGGGACUGAGAUACGGACCAGACUCCUACGGGAGGCAGCAGUGGGGAAUAUUGCACAAUGGGCGGAAGCCUGAUGCGGAAGCGCCGGGUGCGGGAUGACGUCCUUCGGGUUGUAAACCGCUUUCGCCUGUGACGAAGCGUGUGUGACGGUAAUGGGUAAAGAAGCACCGGCUAACUACGUG
This 468-nucleotide ribosomal RNA is filed under the name uncultured bacterium. RNAcentral describes it as "partial 16S ribosomal RNA". It matches the Rfam family "Bacterial small subunit ribosomal RNA", at positions 28 to 507 of the family's 1533-position model. The record is from RNAcentral.